RNAcentral lists this long non-coding RNA (1192 nucleotides) under Macaca mulatta (Rhesus monkey). RNAcentral's name for it is "lncRNA (ENSMMUG00000051581.1)". The record is from RNAcentral. Lineage: Eukaryota; Metazoa; Chordata; Mammalia; Primates; Cercopithecidae.
AUGCUUUACUUCUAUGUCUAUCUUGAAUUGCUCAGUAUUCAGAGAAAACACAAAGCUCACAAAUUUUUAAUGAAAGGAGAUGGUGGCUGGGCGCAUUGGCUCAUGCCUGUAAUGACAGCUCUUUGGGAGGCCAAAGUGGGCGGAUCACUUGAGGUCAGGAGUUCGAGACCAGCCUGGCCAACAUGGUGAAACUCUCUCUCUACUAAAAAUAUAAAACUUAGCUGGUCCUUGUGGGGAUGCCUGUAAUCCCAGCUACUCAGGAGGCUGAGGCAGGAGAAUCACUUGAACAGGGGAAGCGAAGGUUGCAGUGAGCCGAGAUCAUGCUACUUCAUUCCAACCUUGGUGACAGAUCAAAAGUCUGUCUCAAAAAAAUAAAUAAGGAGAUGGUGUGUAAUCAAUAUUUUGGGCCCCUCUUGUUAGCUAAUAUGUUUAAGCCUAGGUCAAGAUAGAAACUGACCCAGAUUAUUAGCAUGUUUCAGUGCAUAAUACUUUAAAAUAAUUCAACACUGACACAUAAUACUAUACUAUUCCACUUAGAUAUAAACAGAUGGUAAGAGAAAUCUCAUGUUCUUAUCCUGGCAUGGUGGCUCACACCUGUAAUCCUAGCACUUUGGGAAGCCAAGUUGGGAGGAUCCCUUGAGCCCAGGAGUUUGAAACCAGACUGGGUAACAUAGUGAGACCUAUCUCUACAGAAAAUUUAAAAACUAGCUGGGCGUUGUGGCAAGCACCUUAGUCCUAGCCACUGGGGUUGUUGAGGUGAGAGAAUUGCUUUUCCCAGGAGUUCAAGGCUACAGUGAGCUAUGAUCACAUCACUGCACCCCAGCCUGGGUGAUACAGUGAGACCCUGUCUCUUAAAUAAACAAAAAAUAAUCCCAGAACUCUAAUGUUCUUAUAGGAAUUUUAAUAAUUAGCCGGGCAUGGUGGCGCAUGCCUAUAGUCCCAGCUACUUGGAAGGCUGAGACACGAGAAUCGCUUGAGCCUGGGAGGCAGAGAUUUCAGUGAGCCGAGAUCGUGCCACUGUGCUCCAGCCUGGAUGAUAGAGCGAAACUCUGUCUGAAAAUAAAUGAAUGAAUGAAUGAAUGUAUAAUGAAAGUUUUAACUUAACAAAUUUUAUUUAUGCCUCACAUUGAUGAAAUUAUAAGAACUAAUAAUACUAAUAUACAUAUAUUUUACAAAAAAGGUUUUUUUUUUU